Molecule: non-coding RNA, 1755 nt
Organism: Danio rerio (zebrafish)
Lineage: Eukaryota; Metazoa; Chordata; Actinopteri; Cypriniformes; Danionidae
Source: RefSeq, a predicted model, not a curated record
AGUAAAUAAAUGGGUUAGGCAUAUCAAAUCAAACCCCAAUAUUUCCUGACCUUUACAUGAACUUUUCCAUUAAUGUACAUCACACAGAUGUGGGAAGGUCAGUUUAUGGCAUGUUGUGUUAACAGAAAGAGACAGCAGAGUAUUUAGUGAAAGAGACGCUAAAGGAGUCAGAUGUGGCUUUAGGAUGUGUCUGAUAGGUCUUUAUUCUCUAAAGCAGAUAAAAAGGGACUGAUCAGCUAUAAGAUGAAGAUUUGGCAGAACAUACAGGUUAUAAAUUGGCAUGACGUCUAUAUGAAAUGCAGAUAAAUGUGUGUUGGAAAGAAAAUGUCCAUAUAACUUUAUCCUGAACUUCAUACAAAAUGAGGAAACACAAAUGAAAGCUGUUAUUGUGGACUGAAACACUCUCACGUAUAUUAGUGUAAUGUCAACAACAAAUAUUCCAGCAGUUUCAGUCACUAAAAAUUGGGGUGGGAAAACCCUUUCACUGUUACAUUGCAGAAAAGCAAAAAGCAAAAUGACAAUGAUUACAUAUAUGAAAGAGCAGAAGAGAUGAAACAGAUUAGACCUCCCCGUCCCUCCAGUCCUCAACUAAGCUGCACUCCACCCUCCAGUCCAGUAGGUGGCAGAAUCUGCACCUUUACACUGUUUGCCAAACACCAGUAAACAGAAGAAGAAAGUUGUUUGAAAACGCCUCAUCUUAAACCCUUCAGAAACCCUGCUGUUUCCAGCUCUCAGAUAAGACCAGUGUCUGAUGAUCUUGUGUAAAUGAUUGUCUGUGCAAAUGAUGUGGAGUUUUGUUGAUUAGUCUUUAAUGAGGUUAUUGGUUUGUGGAGGCUUGUGUUUAUACUGUAACUCUUAUAUUUGUCUGAGAACAUGUUAAAGAUGAAGGAGCAUCUGUCUAGUGCAAUAUCACAGCUGAGCAAGAAGACAAGCACAAGAAUAAAAUCCCCACAUCCUCUCCAUCAGCUCAUCUACAGAUCAGAUCAGUGAAGCGAGUGAUCAGCUGUAACUCUCGGCCUGUUUGUUGGCUGAGUGUUAGAGAAAUGAUGGUGAAUUUACCACAGCGCUGUGUUUAAUCUGUCUCAGACACCAUCAAGCAGAUCUAUAAUAGUGGAGGAACCCUUUCUGCUCACCUGGUGAUGCUGACCGGCCGAGAGGAGCAGGAGAGAACACACGGACAGGUGAACUGCUGAGCAAACACUGGAGGAGAAACACACAGAGAGGCUGUGAUUGCGGUGCAGGUCAGUGUAAUCCUGCAGAGUGUACCUGCGGUGGAGUGUGAUGCUGAGCAUGGAAACCCUACAGAUGUAGAAAUCCUGCUUCAGCUUGCUCUCCUCGCUUCAUUUAACAGUAGUGGUGGGCAAAGUGAGGCUUCAUGAAACUGAAACAGUCGAAGCAAAUGUGUCAAAGCUUUGAAACGUUUCAAAACUCUACAGUGACGCCUAGUGGUAAUUGUUAUACAUUGCUCUGGAACAGCUUCAGCAAAGAACAAUUGAGCAAAUUGAGGUAUUAAAACCCACUUUGUACCUUUGAACCUACAAGUGUUGUAGCGGAGCGGUCAGAGUUCCUGACUAUCAUGCAGGGAUACUGGGUUCGAAUCCAGGCAAAUGCAGGUAUGUUGAAAUGCUCUGUUCUUGUAUUGUUUUGUUUCAACAUUGGUCAGACAUCAGAAUAAACACUAUUUGUGAAUAAAUAUGUCUUGUUUUGGUCAUUAAACAGGGUUGUUUCUAGAUCAGACACAGUUGUGGUCAGAAG